RNAcentral lists this ribosomal RNA (1205 nucleotides) under uncultured organism. RNAcentral describes it as "bacterial SSU rRNA". It matches the Rfam family "Bacterial small subunit ribosomal RNA", at positions 105 to 1279 of the family's 1533-position model. The record is from RNAcentral.
GGUGAGUAAUGCGCAGACAACUUGCGCCCCGGACUGGGAUAGCCCCUCGAAAGAGGGAUUAAUACCGGAUAUGGUCGUCCCGCAAAAGCGGGAUUAUCCAAAGGUGCCUUCUUCGGAAGGUGCCACCAGGGGAUGGGUUUGCGUUCUAUCAGCUUGUUGGUGGGGUAACGGCUCACCAAGGCAAUGACGGAUAGCUGGUCUGAGAGGAUGGUCAGCCACACUGGGACUGAGACACUGCCCAGACUCCUACGGGAGGCUGCAGUCGAGAAUCAUUCGCAAUGCGCGCAAGCGUGACGAUGCGACGCCGCGUGGAGGAUGACGGCCUUCGGGUUGUAAACUCCUGUCAUGAGGGAACAAAGCUUGCGGGUUAAUACCCCGGGAGUGUGAUGGUACCUCAAGAGGAAGUCACGGCUAACUCUGUGCCAGCAGCCGCGGUAAUACAGAGGUGGCAAGCGUUGUCCGGAUUUACUGGGCGUAAAGGGUGCGUAGGCGGUACGGUAUGUCGGAUGUGAAAUCUCGCAGCUCAACUGUGAAACGUCAUUCGAAACUGCCGAACUAGAGUACUGGAGAGGAGAGCGGAAUUCUUGGAGUAGCGGUGAAAUGCGUAGAUAUCAAGAAGAACACCGGUGGCGAAGGCGGCUCUCUGGACAGUUACUGACGCUGAGGUACGAAAGCCAGGGGAGCGAAGAGGAUUAGAUACCCUCGUAGUCCUGGCAGUAAACGAUGUGCACUUGGUGUGGGGAGGAGUUAUCCCCUUUCCGUACCGGAGUUAACGCGUUAAGUGCACCGCCUGGGGAGUACGGCCGCAAGGCUAAAACUCAAAGGAAUUGACGGGGGCCCGCACAAGCGGUGGAGCAUGUGGCUUAAUUCGAUGCAACGCGAAGAACCUUACCUGGGUUUGACAUGCCCGUCGUAUUCUCCUGAAAGGGAGAAGCCAGUUCGGCUGGACGGUGCACAGGUGCUGCAUGGCUGUCGUCAGCUCGUGCCGUGAGGUGUUGGGUUAAGUCCCGCAACGAGCGCAACCCUUGUGUUUAGUUGCCACUCCCGAUUCUGUCGGGAAGCACUCUAGACAGACUGCCCGUGACAAGCGGGAGGAACGAGGGGAUGACGUCAAGUCAGUAUGGUCCUUAUACCCAGGGCUGCACACGUGCUACAAUGGCCGGUACAGAGGGCGGCGACGCCGCGAGGCGAAGCAAAUCCCCAAA